AUACUAACCAUGCAGGGUAGAUACCAUGAUCACAAAGCUGGUUUUCCCUGGUGAGGUUUUUACAUUGAACUCCAGAAGUGCUGACCCCUGAGAUUUCCCCAAAUAUGGGAAACUGGACUGCAUGAUUUGUGGUAAUGGGGGAUUGCCUUCACACUCUCCAG
Pteronotus mesoamericanus is the source of this 161-nucleotide small nuclear RNA. RefSeq annotates it as U1 spliceosomal RNA. The record is from RefSeq and is a predicted model, not a curated record. The transcript has a single exon. NCBI's taxonomy places the organism in Eukaryota, Metazoa, Chordata, Mammalia, Chiroptera, Mormoopidae.